Molecule: ribosomal RNA, 510 nt
Filed under: uncultured bacterium
Lineage: Bacteria
Description: partial 16S ribosomal RNA
Rfam family: Bacterial small subunit ribosomal RNA
Source: RNAcentral
GACGAACGCUGGCGGCGUGCUUAACACAUGCAAGUCGAACGAAGAGCGAUGGAAGCUUGCUUCUAUCAAUCUUAGUGGCGAACGGGUGAGUAACGCGUAAUCAACCUGCCCUUCAGAGGGGGACAACAGUUGGAAACGACUGCUAAUACCGCAUACGAUCUAACCUCGGCAUCGAGGAAAGAUGAAAGGUGGCCUCUAUGUAUAAGCUAUCACUGAAGGAGGGGAUUGCGUCUGAUUAGCUAGUUGGAGGGGUAACGGCCCACCAAGGCGAUGAUCAGUAGCCGGUCUGAGAGGAUGAACGGCCACAUUGGGACUGAGACACGGCCCAGACUCCUACGGGAGGCAGCAGUGGGGAAUCUUCCGCAAUAGACGAAAGUCUGACGGAGCAACGCCGCGUGAGUGAUGACGGCCUUCGGGUUGUAAAGCUCUGUUAAUCGGGACGAAAGGCCUUCUUGCGAAUAGUGAGAAGGAUUGACGGUACCGGAAUAGAAAGCCACGGCUAACUACGUG